CAACAGACCAUCCCCCACCGAAGGCAGACCGCACCGCACCCCCAGAGUCGAAACCACAGGAGCGACCGAGAGAGGCCUACGCGCACCAGCAGAUCCCAAGCUCACCGGGGAGGAGGAGGGGAGAGGGCGACCGGCGGCGGCGGCGAUGGGUUUCAUCAUGGAGUUCGCGGAGAACCUGAUCCUCCGUCUGAUGGAGGACCCGGACAAGCGCGACCAGGUUCGGCGGGAGCAUGUCUACAAGAUGAAGGAGCGGUGCGAGCGCACCAAGGCGGCGUGGAACCUCCCGCUGCGCCCCUACGGCUUCUGGACCUUCGAGCGCUUCAACUCGCAGCUCUCCUGGGACCCGCAGAUCAGCCAGGCCGCCGGCCGCCGGGACCCCUACGACGACCUCAUCACCCGCCACUCCGGCUCCCCGCCGUCUUCCUAAACACCCGCGCCGGCUAUUUAUGGAGUGUCCUGUUCAGCCAUUCAUGGUAUCUCUUUAUCAUGCCUAGCGGACUGGAAGCUGUUUACAAUCUUUUUUAUUAACUUCAGGUCUACCUCGGCACCAAUAAGAAACUCGCCCCUCUCAAACUGAUUGUGAUUCCAUUCUCUUCUGUUCGAAAAAUGUUGUCACCAAACUACUCUACUUUCUGUUUCAGUUUGGCAUGGAAGCAGAAGUUGUGUACUUUUAUUCUCAAGUUGUUGUCUUUGUAUUAUGAAAUGUUCCAAUAAUCAUUCGGAGCACUCAUUUGCCUUUACCAUUCGGGAAAUUCUCCUAGUGAUUACAGGCGCCAGAUCUUAUAUAUUUUGGAUGGUUUGUCAGGGGCAGAUAAUUUUCUAUAUUGAUUCUA
This is an RNA transcript of Sorghum bicolor (sorghum), 833 nucleotides long. RefSeq lists it as uncharacterized. The transcript is spliced from 3 exons. The record is from RefSeq and is a predicted model, not a curated record. NCBI's taxonomy places the organism in Eukaryota, Viridiplantae, Streptophyta, Magnoliopsida, Poales, Poaceae.